UACGGAGGGGGCUAGCGUUGUUCGGAAUUACUGGGCGUAAAGCGCACGUAGGCGGAUCGGUCAGUCAGAGGUGAAAUCCCGAAGCUCAACUUCGGAACUGCCUUUGAUACUGCUGGGCUAGAGUCCGGGAGAGGUGAGUGGAAUUCCUAGUGUAGAGGUGAAAUUCGUAGAUAUUCGGAGGAACACCAGUGGCGAAGGCGGCUCACUGGCUCGAUACUGACGCUGAGGUGCGAAAGCGUGGGGAGCAAACAGG
Molecule: unclassified non-coding RNA, 253 nt
Filed under: uncultured Alphaproteobacteria bacterium
Lineage: Bacteria; Pseudomonadati; Pseudomonadota; Alphaproteobacteria
Description: contains 16S-23S intergenic spacer region
Rfam family: Bacterial small subunit ribosomal RNA
Source: RNAcentral